RNAcentral lists this ribosomal RNA (543 nucleotides) under Gracila albomarginata (masked grouper). RNAcentral's name for it is "partial 16S ribosomal RNA". It matches the Rfam family "Bacterial large subunit ribosomal RNA", at positions 1847 to 2586 of the family's 2925-position model. The record is from RNAcentral. Lineage: Eukaryota; Metazoa; Chordata; Actinopteri; Perciformes; Serranidae.
AAGAGGUCCCGCCUGCCCUGUGACUAUAUGUUUAACGGCCGCGGUAUUUUGACCGUGCGAAGGUAGCGCAAUCACUUGUCUUUUAAAUGAAGACCUGUAUGAAUGGCAUAACGAGGGCUUGACUGUCUCCUCUUUCAAGUCAAUGAAAUUGAUCUCCCCGUGCAGAAGCGGGGAUAAAAACGUAAGACGAGAAGACCCUAUGGAGCUUCAGACACUAAAGCAGAUCAUGAUCACUACCCAUUAAACAACAAAACGUAAAUUAAUUGAACCCUGCCCUAAUGUCUUUGGUUGGGGCGACCGCGGAGAAACAAAAAACCCCCGCACGGAUCAAAUGCACAGCAUUUACAACCCAGAGCCACAGCUCUAAUUAACAGAACUUCUGACCACUAAGAUCCGGCAAUGCCGAUUAAUGGACCGAGUUACCCUAGGGAUAACAGCGCAAUCUCCUCUUAGAGUUCCUAUCGCCGAGGGGGUUUACGACCUCGAUGUUGGAUCAGGACAUCCUAAUGGUGCAGCCGCUAUUAAGGGUUCGUUUGUUCAACG